Molecule: long non-coding RNA, 5330 nt
Filed under: Sus scrofa (pig)
Lineage: Eukaryota; Metazoa; Chordata; Mammalia; Artiodactyla; Suidae
Description: lncRNA (ENSSSCG00050037962.1)
Source: RNAcentral
UUUUUUUUUUUUUUUUUUUUUUUUUUUUUGGCCACACCUGAGGCAUACGGAGGUUCCCAGGCUGGGGGUCAUCAAAUUGGAGCUGCAGCUGCCAGCCUACACCACAGCCACAGCAACACAGGAUCUGAGCCAUGUCUGUGACCUACACCACAGCUCACGGCAACGCCGGAUCCUUAACCCACUGAGCAAGGCCAGGGAUGGAACUCGAGUCCUCAUGGAUACUAGUCCAGUUCUUAACCUGCUGAGCCAAGAUGGGAACUCCUCAGAAGACAUUUUGUUUCACUUUUAUGGAUAGCCUCAGCUGAUGAAGCUUUGGCAACAAGUGCUGGGAGCAGGCAAACCUAUGUCAGAGAGCGACCGACUGGACUACCUGACAAUAAUACCUAAAGGAUCAGUAAGCUUGGUAUUCCUCUGUCUAUCCUUUCUUUGUGAACUUUGCCCUUUUAAAUAAUGCUUUUGUUUCCUUAAGCCAGUCUUGACCAUUGGUAGGCAAUCAGAAGUAUUCACAUUUGAAGGAAAUUUUAUCAAUUUUUUUCCUCCAAGGAUUAGUAUGACCAUGAGUUUAGCUUCCUGUCAAGAAAAAUGCUAUGUUCAAAGUAUUAUUUCCUUCACUUCUAAUUACAAAUAAGUUUUACCUUUUAUUGUGUUCCAUUAUACAAUUUUACAUAGUACCAUUAUUAUUUUAAGCAACAAUUAAGCAAAUCGAAUGGAUGUUUUUGAGCUCUACUUCUCAGUAUAUAGAUUUACCUAAAAAAGUACAAAGCAAGCACAGUGGUGCAAUUUUCCAGGCACUUUCAAGUUGCUUAAAUAUUUACAAAUAUGUAAGCACCCUGUUGGAAAGCAUGAAAAUUUUGGUGUCAGGAAGAAACACUCCAUGUACAGCAAAUCUUUAAAUUUUAACAUUUGCACAGCUCCAAAUAUUCCUGAGAGAGUUCAUUCUUGUUGUCACUUUCCAUCUGCACGUCUUCAUAUUUCAGCAGCGUAUCUUGGGGAACCAUAACCUCUGUCACCCGAUGUCCCACUAAUUGCACAAAAUACAUGUAAUGUGUUGCUCAUCCAGGGGGAAUGCAUUGUGUCUUCUUGUAAUAUCUAAAACAAAAGAAAUCCCCAUGUUUAUCAUGAAGCAAAACAGCCACUGCCAAAAAAGUAUGUGUAUAUGAAAUCACAGGCAUAUUUCAAUUCAUCACUGACACUUAGCUAUUUCACAUGAUAUAAAGCAGAAAGAGCAAAGAAAAACAUUACCGACUCAAGUCUUCAAAGCUGUAUUACAAAGGCAGCAUAUCAAAAAAGCAGAAAAGAUCUGGUUACUCAUUUAGAAAAACAAAAGGGUGUAAACAGCAAAAUUCAAUAAAAAGCGAGAGGUGAUACAGUCUUUGAAAUAUUUUUUUAACAGAUGGUCAUGACAAGAGGCCUAAACAGUGGACUGGUUGAUACAAUUUACAGAUCAUCUUCUUAUCGUGGUUCCCAGAUCACCUGUGGGGCUUUUCAAACAUGCAGGUACCCAUAUUCUCCUUCCCUGGAGACUUGGGAAAUAAUAUUGAGUGAGGAGAAAAUGAGUGAAUAUUUCUAAAGACACACUAUAAUUGUACAAGUUAAUGGAUACAAAAGAUUCUUCUUGGAAAUGAAGAACUCCAUCAAUAAAAAUAUUAUAUCUCAUAAGUAUAUAAGUAUAUCCCAUAAGUAUAUAAGCAUACAUAUAUUCAUAUUAGUAUAGAUAUUUUAAAAAUACCCAUUUUGGGAGUUCCCGUCAUGGUACAGUGGUUAAGGAAUCCGACUAGGAACCAAGAGGAACUCCUGCAAUUACUAGUCUUAACAUAAUAUAAAUCCCUCUUAAAAAGUCAAAAGCUUGAAGAGCUUUUGGCAUAGUGUAACAGAUUGCAUUGAAAAAGGCCAAGGAGUAGCCCAGCUGUAUCUUUUUUGUCAAGUAAUCAUUUACAGAGCUCAACAGAUAAUUCACAUUUCAGUGCACAACUAUAUUUUAUGUUGUAUUAUUACCUUUUCCUUUGGGAACUAAUGUCUCAAAGUGUAUGACCAAAAAAAAAAAAAAAGGCUCUCUUUUAUAUGAGACUCUAAUAGGAAAUACUGAUUCACAAAAAUUCACUAUAAAGUCAACAUUUGCCCAAAGGAAGGCACACCUGAAUAUGAUUGAGGCCUUAUGACAGCACAGCCUGCAUCAAUAUAAACCAAUAGAAACUAAGGUUUUUCUUGGUUAGCUAUCAGUAUAUAACAUCAAGGGUCUAAAAAUAUUAGUCUCUAGAACUAAAUAAAAUAGCCAUGAUUUAUGGAAAUUAAAAGAGAUAGGUGGGAAAUAUGACAACAGAUUUGUAAAAUCCAUGCUUUGCAUCAUCAAAAAAAAGAGAUAAAAGGAGUUCCCGUUGUAGCUCAGUGGGUUACAAACGCGACUAGUCUUCAUGAGGAUGUGGAUUCCAUUCCUGGACUUGCUCAGUAGGUUAAGGAUCCAGCAUUGCCCUGAGCUGUGAUGUAGAUCGCAGACAUGACUUGGAUCCGGUGUUGCUGGAUCUGAUUUGACCCCUAGCCUGGCAGCUUCCAUAUGCCACAGGUGCGGCCCUAAAAAAGCAAAGCAAAAAAAAAAAAAAAAAAAAAAAAAAAGAGACAGAGAGAGAGAUCAAAGGCCUCAAAACGGAGUCACUUGUGCUAAGCCUACAUCACCUCAACGAGACUCAAUAUCUAACCUAAUUUCAGUUUCAGCCUUUUCUAGGCAGGUAAUCUUAACCAGUCAAAACUGUGUAUGUAUGACUUUCAAUCUGGAAUUACCUGGUUGGCACUAGUGAGGUGGUCCACCUGACAGACCACUGUUGUGCCCAGGGGAAGGUGACCUUGCCUGAAACAAUCAGCUCUUUUCUAGAAUAACCUCUUUGUCCUGCCUCCUUCUACCUGUAAAAGCCCUCCAUUUUGUAAAGCUCUAUGGAGCUCCUUUCUAUCUGCUUGGUGGGAUGCUGCCCACUUCGUCAAGCACCAAAUAAAGCUGAGAUCUUUAAAAUUUACUCAGGUGUAUUUCGUUGUUUAACAAGGGCAAAACGAACUUUAUAAAACGACUACUCUAAAUGUCUUGAUCACAGUAAUAGCAGCAAAUCGAAUAAUUUGCUUUCAAUUUGAAUAAUUUAGAGGUCAAGGCUAGGUCAUACAGUUGCAUGCAAAGCAUAUCAUUGUAAUAUAAUACACGUUGGCUUAACAUGAUGUAAUUGUUUUAUAUCUUUUGUGAAGGAGGAGUUUUUGCUGUCUUUUCCUAAGGACUGUGGAGAACAGCAAGGCAGAAGCCGGACAGUUUCUGGGAACAAAUUAUGUCGUCUAUUCGAUCAAAGCAUACUCCAGAACAGGGAUGGUGAAGAGGGGUGUACCCCCCACCCACUGUAAUCAUGGGCCGAGCUUGAGAUACAGACAGUAAAGGAAGCGGAAUGACCCCCUACCUGCCUCCUCCUCAUCACCUGGCUACUGCGGGAAGGAGGCAAAAAGGGGCCUCUGCAAACAGCAGCCAAGGUAUGUCUCGGAACAGUUUCCACUCGGUCCUAAGCGGGCUAACAGAGGUAAAGAGGGCAGAAAGAAGAAAUGGAACACUGAUUCCAGACUCCUCAGGCCGACCAGAUUCCCAGCCAUGACAACGGGAGAGUAAGCAUCUCAUCGAACAGAUGGGAUGAUGCAAGGCUGAUGGACUGGCUUUUCCACACUGAGAAGAUGACAAUGGUUAGAAAACGAGACUCCUGGAGUUCCCAUCGUGGCUCAGUGGUUAGAGAAUCCGAUUAGGAACCAUGAGGUUCCCUGGCCUCGCUCAGUGGGUUAAGGAUCCGGCAUUGCCAUGAGCUGUGGUUUAGGUUGCAGACGUGGCUUGGAUCCCGCGUUGCUGUGGCUGUGGUGUAGGCCGGUGGCUACAGCUCCGACUCGACCCCUAGCCUGGGAACCUCCAUAUGCCAUGGGAGCGGCCCAAGAAAUGGCAAAAAAAGACAAAAAAAAAAAAAAAAAAAAAAAAAAAAAAAGAAAACGAGACUCCUGGUCACUCGGUGUGAAUGUGGGCUAAUUAUACCUAAAUUUUCCCAAGUCCUUUCUAAGAGAAAGCAUACAAGAUCAAUUCCAGGAGGCAGAGCUUGCUUCGGAGUCACCUAGCUUUUGGUUUCCUCGAAAUGUCUCUUCUCUCCUCCAUCGUUACACUGCAGCUCUUUGGGUACUGACUACUGGCGGCCGAGUGCUAGGUACCUCCUUUGUGUGACGGUCUCACAGAGGGGACUGCCUUCAAGCAAUCACUGAAACGCAGAGAGCAGGACAGAGGACGAACCAGCGCUAGGAACACAUUCUCUAAAUGGUCGUGGUCUCCGGAGGAGACAGUUUGGGGGUGGGGGGGGUGUGCUUGGUUUAUGGGGUGGAAAUCCUGUGAAACUGGAUUGUUACGGUCAUUACAUAACUACAGAUGUGAUAAAUUUAUUUGAGUAAUAAAAAAAUAAAUUAAAAAAAAAAUAAAUGGUCGUAAUCAUCCUUGUUUCUUUUAAGGAGUCUUCACUGCAUUUAAAAUUUUUUGCUUGUUUGUUUUUAUCUGUGCCCACGGCGUGCAGAAGUUCCUGGGCGAGGGAUAGAACACACGCCACAGCAGUGACCCAGGGCACGGAUGUGACAACACCUCUGUGCCACCAGGGAACUCUCCGCCACACACACCAAUGAAAAGAAAAAAGGGAGUUCCUGCCAUGGCUCAGGGGUUAACGAACCCAACUAGGAUCCAUGAGGAUGCAGGUUUGAUCCCUGACCUCGCUGAGUGGGUUAAGGAUCCGGCGUUGCCGUGAGCUGUGGCGUAGACCAGAAGCCGUAGCUCCGAUUCGACUCCUACCCUAGGAACCUCCAUAUGCCGUGGGCGUGGCCCUAAAAAGACAAUAGACAAAGAAAAAAUGAGUUUGAAGAGUUUCUAAAGCAAUUAUUUCUUAUUGAGUGUUUUCUUUAGUAAGGGAAUGAAGGAGACUUUAUGAUAAGCUUAAUAGACUCAGGCACCGAGGGAACCAGAACAUCACACUGUGACUUUUAUGACGGUGCUGAAGAUGUUAAAAGACUUUGGUGGCAAUCCAGAUACAGAGUGGGUUGUAAUCACAGAUUUUAGGACCUCAGUGUAGGAAUGACGUUUACCAGGAUAAUCCAGAAGUAAUCUGGCUUUAAGGUAAGAAGGUAUAUAAAAGCCAUACCACCUGAUUAUGACAUCAUUUCAACUCUAAGUGGUGAGCUGAUCUUCUAUAUUUUUCAGAUUGUGUUUUUACUAAGUUAUCUGUAAUUGUCAAUCAUGCUCAGUCAUAGAUUAAAAUGCUAGGUUUUAUGAAAAUAGUUUUGCAGGCUGCAUG